UGGGUGAUCUGCCCUGCACUUUGGGAUAAGCCUGGGAAACUGGGUCUAAUACCGGAUAGGACUACGAAUCGCAUGGUUUGUGGUGGAAAGCUUUGGCGGCGUGGGAUGGGCCCGCGGCCUAUCAGCUUGUUGGUGGGGUGAUGGCCUACCAAGGCGACGACGGGUAGCCGGCCUGAGAGGGUGUCCGGCCACACUGGGACUGAGAUACGGCCCAGACCUCCGUACGGGAGGCA
Molecule: ribosomal RNA, 233 nt
Filed under: uncultured bacterium
Lineage: Bacteria
Description: partial 16S ribosomal RNA
Rfam family: Bacterial small subunit ribosomal RNA
Source: RNAcentral